GCCUUUGAUGCGGCACCGUCGGUCUGGGCCAA
This 32-nucleotide non-coding RNA is filed under the name Syntrophotalea carbinolica DSM 2380. Lineage: Bacteria; Pseudomonadati; Thermodesulfobacteriota; Desulfuromonadia; Desulfuromonadales; Syntrophotaleaceae. The record is from RNAcentral.